GACGAACGCUGGCGGCGUGCCUAAUACAUGCAAGUAGAACGCAGUUGCGAACGGGUGAGUAACGCGUAGGUAACUGCCUCAUAGCGGGGGAUAACUAUUGGAAACGAUAGCUAAUACCGCAUACUGUGAGAUGGACCUGCGUUGUAUUAGCUAGUUGGUGAGGUAAAGGCUCACCAAGGCGACGAUACAUAGCCGACCUGAGAGGUGGAUCGGCCCCCCUGGGACUGGGACAGGGCCCAGAGUCCACGGGGAGGAAGCGGUGGGGAUUUUGCGGAAAUGGAGGGAAGUUUGACCGGCGAACCCCGCGGGGUUGAGGAAGUUUUUCGGUUCGUAAAGCUCUUUUGUUGGGGAAACGUUAACUAACCAGAAAGGGACGGCUAACUACGUGCAAGCAGCCGCGGUAAUAC
This 407-nucleotide ribosomal RNA is filed under the name uncultured bacterium. Its description in RNAcentral is "partial 16S ribosomal RNA". It matches the Rfam family "Bacterial small subunit ribosomal RNA", at positions 28 to 526 of the family's 1533-position model. The record is from RNAcentral.